This 519-nucleotide ribosomal RNA is filed under the name Triticum aestivum (bread wheat). Its description in RNAcentral is "partial small subunit ribosomal RNA". Lineage: Eukaryota; Viridiplantae; Streptophyta; Magnoliopsida; Poales; Poaceae. The record is from RNAcentral.
AUGGCGCAGCGGGACAAGAAGGUGGAGGAGCCGACGGAGGUGCACCUGCACGCCGCGGAGAUCACGCUCUGCGCCAACAGCUGCGGCUUCCCGGGCAACCCGGCCACCAAGAACCUCUGCCAGAACUGCUUCCUGGCGUCCUCCUCCUCGCCGUCGCCCUCCGCCGCCUCGCCGCCGUCCCCUUCCUCUUCGCCCGCGGCGUUCCCGCUCUUCGACAAGCUGAGGCCGGCCGCCGUCGCGUCGCCCCUGCUGCAGGCGGCGCCCGUCUACAUGGCCGUCGACCGGCCGGCCGCCGGGCCGGCGGACCCGAAGGCGUCCAAGUCGUCCGUCAACCGCUGCCACAACUGCCGGAAGCGCGUGGGCCUGACGGGGUUCCGCUGCCGGUGCGGCGAGAUGUUCUGCGGCGCGCACCGGUACUCGGACCGGCACGACUGCAGCUACGACUACAAGUCGGCGGCCAGGGACGCCAUCGCCAGGGAGAACCCCGUCGUGCGCGCCGCCAAGAUCGUUCGGUUCUGA